RNAcentral lists this transfer RNA (77 nucleotides) under Paenibacillus arenilitoris. RNAcentral describes it as "Paenibacillus sp. IB182493 tRNA-Arg". It matches the Rfam family "tRNA". Rfam says of the family: Transfer RNA (tRNA) molecules are approximately 80 nucleotides in length. Their secondary structure includes four short double-helical elements and three loops (D, anti-codon, and T loops). The record is from RNAcentral. Lineage: Bacteria; Bacillati; Bacillota; Bacilli; Caryophanales; Paenibacillaceae.
GUCCCGGUAGCUCAGUUGGAUAGAGCAACGGCCUUCUAAGCCGUCGGUCGGGAGUUCGAAUCUCUUCCGGGACGCCA